UACGUAGGGACCAAGCGUUGUCCGGAAUCAUUGGGCGUAAAGCGCGCGUAGGUGGCCAUUUAAGUCCGCUGUGAAAGUCAGAGGCUCAACCUUUGAAAGCCGGUGGAUACUGGAUGGCUAGAGUACGGAAGAGGCGAGUGGAAUUCCUGGUGUAGCGGUGGAAUGCGCAGAUAUCAGGAGGAACACCGAUGGCGAAGGCAGGUCUCUGGGCCGAUACUGACGCUGAGGAGCGAAAGCGUGGGGGAGCGAACAGG
RNAcentral lists this ribosomal RNA (254 nucleotides) under uncultured bacterium. RNAcentral describes it as "partial 16S ribosomal RNA". It matches the Rfam family "Bacterial small subunit ribosomal RNA", at positions 524 to 776 of the family's 1533-position model. The record is from RNAcentral.